UGGGGAAUAUUGCACAAUGGGCGCAAGCCUGAUGCAGCCAUGCCGCGUGUGUGAAGAAGGCCUUCGGGUUGUAAAGCACUUUCAGCGAGGAGGAAGGUGGUGAGCUUAAUACGCUCAUCAAUUGACGUUACUCGCAGAAGAAGCACCGGCUAACUCCGUGCCAGCAGCCGCGGUAAUACGGAGGGUGCAAGCGUUAAUCGGAAUUACUGGGCGUAAAGCGCACGCAGGCGGUUUGUUAAGUCAGAUGUGAAAUCCCCGGGCUCAACCUGGGAACUGCAUUUGAAACUGGCAAGCUAGAGUCUCGUAGAGGGGGGUAGAAUUCCAGGUGUAGCGGUGAAAUGCGUAGAGAUCCGGAGGAAUACCGGUGGCGAAGGCGGCCCCCUGGACGAAGACUGACGCUCAGGUGCGAAAGCGUGGGGCAGCAAACAGGAUUAGAUACCCUGGUAGUCCACGCUGUAAACGAUGUCGAUUUUGGAGGUUGUGCCCUUGAGGCGUGGCUUCCGGAGCUAACGCGUUAAAUCGACCGCCUGGGGAGUACGGCCGCAAGGUUAAAACUCAAAUGAAUUGAC
Molecule: ribosomal RNA, 569 nt
Filed under: uncultured bacterium
Lineage: Bacteria
Description: partial 16S ribosomal RNA
Rfam family: Bacterial small subunit ribosomal RNA
Source: RNAcentral